RNAcentral lists this transfer RNA (74 nucleotides) under Plasmodium berghei. RNAcentral describes it as "Val transfer RNA (tac)". It matches the Rfam family "tRNA". From Rfam's summary of the family: Transfer RNA (tRNA) molecules are approximately 80 nucleotides in length. Their secondary structure includes four short double-helical elements and three loops (D, anti-codon, and T loops). Further hydrogen bonds mediate the characteristic L-shaped molecular structure. tRNAs have two regions of fundamental functional importance: the anti-codon, which is responsible for specific mRNA codon recognition, and the 3' end, to which the tRNAs corresponding amino acid is attached (by aminoacyl-tRNA synthetases). tRNAs cope with the degeneracy of the genetic code in two manners: having more than one tRNA (with a specific anti-codon) for a particular amino acid; and 'wobble' base-pairing, i.e. permitting non-standard base-pairing at the 3rd anti-codon position. RNAcentral also lists the same sequence under 2 other names. Lineage: Eukaryota; Apicomplexa; Aconoidasida; Haemosporida; Plasmodiidae. The record is from RNAcentral.
UAAGUAAUUAACUUAGAGGUAAAGUUUCUGCUUUACAUACAGAAGAUCAUUGGUUCGAUUCCAAUAUUACUUAA